AUGGUGUCAAAGAAAAUUGAAGAAAAAGAAGUAGAAGCUCCCAUCCAUGGAAACAUCUUAGAAGCCAUACUCUCUCACGUGUCGCUCAUUUACUUGCUCCUAGCCAAUCACGUGUUAGAUCAUUGGAACACCGUGGUGUCCUCCUCCAUCCACCACGUCAACCCCGUGAAAGUGACGCCACAACAUCGACCUGGCUCUUUACUACCUUCUCCGGUGAGAUUAUGUACGUGA
Vicia faba (fava bean) is the source of this 231-nucleotide non-coding RNA. Lineage: Eukaryota; Viridiplantae; Streptophyta; Magnoliopsida; Fabales; Fabaceae. The record is from the annotation of a GenBank genome assembly.